CCUACGGGAGGCAGCAGUGGGGAAUAUUGGGCAAUGGAGGCAACUCUGACCCAGCAACGCCGCGUGAAUGAUGAAGGUCUUCUGAUUGUAAAGUUCUGUGAUGGGGGAUGAACACCAUGACGGUCCCCCAAUAGCAAGCCACGGCUAACUACGUGCCAGCAGCCGCGGUACUACGUAGGUGGCAAGCGUUAUCCGGAUUUACUGGGUGUAAAGGGCGUGUAGGCGGGAGUGCAAGUCAGACGUGAAAUUCCAGGGCUCAACCCUGGAACUGCGUUUGAAACUGUUGUUCUGGAGUGAUGGAGAGGCAGGCGGAAUUCGGGGUGUAGCGGUGAAAUGCGUAGAUAUACGGAGGAACACCAGUGGCGAAGGCGGCCUGCUGGACAGUAACUGACGCUGAGGCGCGAAAGCGUGGGGAGCAAACAGGAUUAGAUACCCGGGUAGUC
This 443-nucleotide ribosomal RNA is filed under the name uncultured bacterium. RNAcentral's name for it is "partial 16S ribosomal RNA". It matches the Rfam family "Bacterial small subunit ribosomal RNA", at positions 338 to 795 of the family's 1533-position model. The record is from RNAcentral.